RNAcentral lists this transfer RNA (73 nucleotides) under Planctomycetaceae bacterium. RNAcentral's name for it is "tRNA-Ala". It matches the Rfam family "tRNA". From Rfam's summary of the family: Transfer RNA (tRNA) molecules are approximately 80 nucleotides in length. Their secondary structure includes four short double-helical elements and three loops (D, anti-codon, and T loops). The record is from RNAcentral. Lineage: Bacteria; Pseudomonadati; Planctomycetota; Planctomycetia; Planctomycetales; Planctomycetaceae.
GGGGGAUUAGCUCAGCUGGGAGAGCGCUUGAAUGGCAUUCAAGAGGUCAGGGGUUCAAGUCCCCUAUCCUCCA